RNAcentral lists this small RNA (485 nucleotides) under Arabidopsis thaliana (thale cress). Its description in RNAcentral is "ATSL121640". The record is from RNAcentral. Lineage: Eukaryota; Viridiplantae; Streptophyta; Magnoliopsida; Brassicales; Brassicaceae.
AAAUGAAUUUUAUCAUCUCAGUUCUUUAAAUCUUCAUCAUUAUUUCGUCAAAUACAUUAAAAUAGCCAGAAAAAAUCAGUAUAUAGAUGCUAGAUCAUGUGUUUGUGUGUGGAUUUUAUUUUCAUUUUUUCGCCUCAUUCAUUAUUUCGCUUGAUUCAUUAUUUUGCCUAAUUCAUUACUUAGAUAGUUUUUGUAUACAAUAAAAAUGCAACUUUUGUGUUAUACACUAGUUUUAUGAUUCUGAAUGCUUACAACUUUUGUCUCAUAUGGUUUUCAUCUCUUUUAACCUUUGGAUUUUUAGAUACAACAUAUUAGUGCAGAUCUCGUACGUUUUGUGUUGUUCUUCACAGUGUAGAGAUGAUAGAUAAGAGAAGAAAUACAACAAAAGUGAAAGGAAAAGUUCGAGCAACUGAUGACGUGGUAAACAGUUUUUCCUUCCAUUUUUGUAGAUUAGUGAUAUCUAAAAUCUACGUAUUAUUAUUAAU